RNAcentral lists this ribosomal RNA (480 nucleotides) under Prorocentrum leve. Its description in RNAcentral is "LSU rRNA". It matches the Rfam family "Eukaryotic large subunit ribosomal RNA", at positions 74 to 508 of the family's 3401-position model. Lineage: Eukaryota; Dinophyceae; Prorocentrales; Prorocentraceae. The record is from RNAcentral.
AUUUUCUCAGUAAUUGCGAAUGAAGAGGGAGUAGUUCAGUUUGGAAAUUGGGGCCCCUUGGCCUUGAAUUGUAGUUUGGAGACGCGCCGCCAAUGGAGGCGUAGAUGUAUACCUCUUGGAAGAGAGCAUCAGUGAGGGUGAGAGUCCCGUUUGCCAUCUGCAGCCCGCUGUGCACGGGGCGCUUCCAAAGAGUCACGUUCCUCGGAACUGGAGCGCAAAGUGGGUGGUAACUUUCAUCUCAAGCUGAAUACGGUUUCGAGACCGAUAGUGAACAAGUACCAUGAGGGAAAGGUGAAAAGGACUUUGAGAAGAGAGUUACAAGUGCCUGAAAUCGCUGGAAGCAAAGCGAAGGGAACUAUGGCUGCUUGGUAAAAUCUUCUGCGCGCUCACAGGAUGGCUUGCUGUUUCAACGCAAGUGCGGCAGCUAGUCCCCAUCGAAGCGUGCGCUGUGUUUUUUGCCGCGCAUGUCAACGCCAACUU